AAGAAGAUGGGGGCACCAGCCGCCACUCUCCUAGUCGCCAGAUGAUAAGGGAGCAGAGGCCACCCGCCCCGUUCCGAACCACCAGAACCGAACGGGCCUUGUCCCGCUCAGAUCUGCUACCAUGAGAGGGGAGAGGGAGCUGGGUAUGGGUUGGGGCGGUGGUGCCCUGUGAGGGAGGGGAGAGGUGGCCUCACCGGGCGCUUGGGCUUCGCCAGAUGCGAGCGUCGCCGCCGCCGCUCAGAUCGGGAGAGAAAGAGAUAAGGGAGAGAGAUAGCUGUGGUGUUUUUUUCAAGUGGACGGUGUAUUAGGAGGUGGGUUGUGGGGGCGCGCGGCAUGAAAAUUCGG
This 345-nucleotide ribosomal RNA is filed under the name Triticum aestivum (bread wheat). RNAcentral describes it as "partial small subunit ribosomal RNA". Lineage: Eukaryota; Viridiplantae; Streptophyta; Magnoliopsida; Poales; Poaceae. The record is from RNAcentral.